GAACUAACAAGGAUUCCCCUAGUAACUGCGAGUGAAGCGGGAAAAGCUCAAAUUUAAAAUCUGGUGGCCUUUGGCCAUCCGAGUUGUAAUUUAGAGAAGCGUUUUCCGCGCUGGUCCGUGCACAAGUCUCCUGGAAUGGAGCGUCAUAGAGGGUGAGAAUCCCGUCUUUGGCACGGACACACCAGGGCUUUGUGAUGCGCUCUCGAAGAGUCGAGUUGUUUGGGAAUGCAGCUCAAAAUGGGUGGUGAACUCCAUCUAAAGCUAAAUAUUGGCGAGAGACCGAUAGCGAACAAGUACCGUGAGGGAAAGAUGAAAAGCACUUUGGAAAGAGAGUGAAACAGUACGUGAAAUUGUUGAAAGGGAAACGCUUGAAGUCAGUCGCGUCGACCGAGACUCAGCCUUGCCUUGGCUUGGUGUACUUCUCGGCUGACGGGUCAGCAUCAAUUUUGCCUCUUGGAUAAUGGCAAGGGAAAUGUGACACCUUUACGGUGUGUUAUAGUCUCUUGUCGCAUGCAAGGGUUGGGAUUGAGGAACUCAGCACGCGCCUUUGGGUGUCGGGGCUUUGCCCACGAUACGUGCUUAGGAUGUUGGCGUAAUGGCUUUAAACGACCCGUCUUGAAACACGGACCAAGGAGUCUAACAUGCCUGCGAGUGUUCGGGUGGAAAACCCGUGCGCGCAAUGAAAGUGAAAGUUGGGACCUCUGUCGUGGAGGGCACCGACGCCCGGACCAGACCUUCUGUGACGGCUCUGCGGUAAAGCAUGUAUGUUAGGACCCGAAAGAUGGUGAACUAUGCCUGAAUAGGGUGAAGCCAGAGGAAACUCUGGUGGAGGCUCGUAGCGAUUCUGACGUGCAAAUCGAUCGUCAAAUUUGGGUAUAGGGGCGAAAGACUAAUCGAACCAUCUAGUAGCUGGUCCUCC
RNAcentral lists this ribosomal RNA (919 nucleotides) under uncultured Russula. Its description in RNAcentral is "eukaryotic LSU rRNA". It matches the Rfam family "Eukaryotic large subunit ribosomal RNA", at positions 56 to 960 of the family's 3401-position model. Lineage: Eukaryota; Fungi; Basidiomycota; Agaricomycetes; Russulales; Russulaceae. The record is from RNAcentral.